CCUACGGGAGGCAGCAGUAGGGAAUCUUUCACAAUGGGCGAAAGCCUGAUGGAGCAACGCCGCGUGCAGGAUGAAGGCCUUCGGGUUGUAAACUGCUUUUAUAAGCGAGAAAUAUGAUGGUAACUUAUGAAUAAGGAUCGGCUAACUACGUGCCAGCAGCCUCGGUCAUACGGAGGAUCCGAGCAUUAGCCGGAGUGACUGGGUGUAAAGAGUUGCGUAGGUGGCAUAAUAAGUAGCUAGUGAAAACUGGUGGCUCAACCAUUCCGACUAUUGGCUAAAAUGUUAAGCUCGAGACAGUUAGGAGUAACUGGAAUUUCUAGUGUAGGAGUGAAAUCCGUAGAUAUUAGAAGGAACACCAAUAGCGUAGGCAGGUUGCUGGGACGGUUCUGACACUAAGGCACGAAAGCGUAGGGAGCAAACGGGAUUAGAUACCCUGGUAGUC
This 442-nucleotide ribosomal RNA is filed under the name uncultured bacterium. Its description in RNAcentral is "partial 16S ribosomal RNA". It matches the Rfam family "Bacterial small subunit ribosomal RNA", at positions 338 to 795 of the family's 1533-position model. The record is from RNAcentral.